CCUACGGGAGGCAGCAGUAAGGAAUCUUCCACAAUGGACGAAAGUCUGAUGGAGCAACGCCGCGUGCAGGAUGAAGGCUUUCGGGUCGUAAACUGCUUUUAUAUGGGAAGAUUAUGACGGUACCAUAUGAAUAAGGACCGGCUAACUACGUGCCAGCAGCCGCGGUAAUACGUAGGGUCCAAGCGAUAUCCGGAAUUACUGGGCGUAAAGCGUGUGUAGGUGGAUUAAUAAGUGUGAUGCGAAAUCCGGCGGCUCAACCGUUUGGACUGUGUCGCAUACUGUUAGUCUAGAGGACGGCAGAGGUAAGUGGAAUUACGGGUGUAGCAGUGAAAUGCGUAGAUAUCCGUAGGAACACCAAUGGCGAAGGCAGCUUACUGGGCCACACCUGACACUGAGACACGAAAGCGUGGGGAGCGAACAGGAUUAGAUACCCUGGUAGUCCACGCCGUAAACGAUGCAUACUAUUAGUAUGGGGUAUCGACCCCCUGUGCUGAGAAGCUAACGCGAUAAGUAUGCCGCCGUCGGGAGGUACGAGCGCGAGACUAACUACAANAGAGUAGACGCGUGAGACGUGCCGACGGACGACGACGAGGGAGGAGG
This 600-nucleotide ribosomal RNA is filed under the name uncultured bacterium. RNAcentral describes it as "bacterial SSU rRNA". The stretch from base 1 to 520 matches the Rfam family "Bacterial small subunit ribosomal RNA", at positions 338 to 873 of the family's 1533-position model. The record is from RNAcentral.